Molecule: small RNA, 127 nt
Filed under: Vigna angularis var. angularis
Lineage: Eukaryota; Viridiplantae; Streptophyta; Magnoliopsida; Fabales; Fabaceae
Description: Non-protein coding transcript
Source: RNAcentral
CCCCCAACGGCGUGGUUAGAGGCCAGUUAUCCAGAAGCAUCUCCGACCACCACCAUCUCCCCCACGAAGCUUGCUAGCAUCCACCAUCAACCACUUCAAGAGCCACCUCCAAGUCUCCAGAUUAGGC